RNAcentral lists this ribosomal RNA (3086 nucleotides) under Methanobacteriota archaeon. Its description in RNAcentral is "bacterial LSU rRNA". It matches the Rfam family "Bacterial large subunit ribosomal RNA", at positions 1 to 2475 of the family's 2925-position model. The record is from RNAcentral. Lineage: Archaea; Methanobacteriati; Methanobacteriota.
GGUCAAGUUAUUAAGGGCUUACGGUGGAUGCCUUGGGACCAAAAGCCGAUGAAGGGCGCGGCAAGGCUGCGUUAAGCCUCGAUGAGCCGUCUAGCGGGCAUAGUCGGGGAUACCCGAAUGGGGAAACCUUAUCCGGUGUUGAGUCGGAUAAUCCCGGUGUAAACCGGGAGGGUAAGCGGGGGAACUGAAACAUCUAAGUACCCCGAGGAAAAUAAAUCAACCGAGAUUCCCUCAGUAGUGGCGAACGAACGGGGAUCAGCCUAAACCAGUACGACUUAGUGGUAUAAGGACCUAUGUCGUACCGGUGUUGUAGGGACUGCCUAGAGCCACCUUAUUAGGCUCAAAUGAGUUACAAAUCUUAUUCCUAGUCGAAGGAUCCUGGGAAGGACCGUCAUAGAGGGUGAUAGCCCCGUAGGCGAAAGGGAUAGGACUCAUGGCGUGUUACCUGAGUACCACGGGGCACGGGAAACCUUGUGGGAAUCCGGGGGGACCACCCUCCAAGGCUAAAUACUUUUGGUCACCGAUAGCGUACCAGUACCGUGAGGGAAAGGUGAAAAGAACCCCUAGCGGGGAGUGAAAUAGAUCUGAAACCGUAAGCUUACAGAAGGUCGUAGUCCUGACUUUGUCGGGAUGGCGGCGUGCCUAUUGAAGAAUGAUCCGGGGACUUACUGUAUGGAGCGAGGUUAAGGAACUGUAGUUCCGGAGCCGCAGCGAAAGCGAGUCUGAAUAGGGCGCCAAGUUCCAUGUAGUAGACUCGAAACCGGGUGAGCUACCCAUGGCCAGGUUGAAGGUUCGAUAACACGGACUGGAGGACCGAACUCGUGGCUAGUACAAAAGCUUGGGAUGAGCUGUGGGUAGAGGUGAAAUGCCAAUCGAACUCGGAAAUAGCUAGUUCUCCUCGAAAUGCAUUUAGGUGCAGCCUCGAUCUAUAGGUGGACGGAGGUAGGGCACUGACUGGGCUAGGGGGCGUGAGCUUACCAAACCCAAUCAAACCACCAAUGCCGUUUAUCCGUUAAUCGGGAGUGAGACCGGCACAGAUAAGUGCGUCGGUCGAAAGGGAAACAGCCCAGACCACCGGCUAAGGCCCCCAAGAGCAGUCUAAGUGGCAAAGGAAGUUAGGUUCCACAAACAACCAGGAGGUUGGCUUAGAAGCAGCCACCCUUUAAAGAGUGCGUAAUAGCUCACUGGUCGAGGGAUCUGGCGCCGAAAAUGUAACGGGGCUUAAGUCUGCCGCCGAAGCCGUGGAUGUAUAGGUACAAGGUUGAAAUUCUUGGGACUUAAAGUGGAACCAAUGUUGGAUUUUAUCUUCGGAUAUCUGAAGACUGCGGAGAAACUGGCGGAAGCAAGACUGGACGCUUUGAGUAUUGCCUAUGCGUGGUAGAGGAGCGUUCCUCGUGCAGUGAAGGUUAGUUGCGAAUCUAGCUGGAGCGCGGGGAAGUGAGAAUCCCGGAAUGAGUAGCGUAAACUAGGGUUAAAAUCCCUGGCGCCGAAAGCCCAAGGUUUCCUACGCAAUGUUUAUCAGCGUAGGGUUAGUCGGUCCUAAGCCGUAGGCAAGCGCCGAAGGCGAUGGACAGCAGGUUAAUAUUCCUGCACUGCCGAAAUUUCGCUUAAAGCCAAGGAGGGAUGCAGGAGGGUAGGUAGAGCAUGCCCAUUGGACAUGGUGUGUUCUCUUUCGUAGGCGAGUCGGGGCAGGUAAAUCCACUCCGACGUUAAGCUGAGGAUUGAGGGAAUCGAAGCCUUCGGGCUUACGAAACUCUAUUGAACCCAUACUGACGAGAAAAGCUUCGUGGUUAUGGAAUUAGGCAACCGUACCGCAAACCGCCACUGGUGGGCUAGGAUAAAAGUCCUAAGGCGUUCGAGCGAACCUCCGUUAAGGAACUAGACAAAAGAGCCCUGUAACUUCGGGAGAAAGGGCCCCCCGGGGGGUGUAACCACUUGCUGGUGAAGCUUUCUGGGGGCGCAGAGAAGAAGGCCGGGCGACUGUUUAACAAAAACACAGGUCUGUGCUAAGGGGAAACCCUACGUAUACAGGCUGACGCCUGCCCAGUGCCGGAAGGUUAAGGGGAGGGGUGAGAGCCUCGAACUGAAGCCCCGGUGAACGGCGGCCGUAACUCUAACGGUCAACCGAGCGCCGACCAAACCCGGAAGAUUCGUCUUCGGGGUCCAAUCGGCGACUUAAGGCCGUUGUAAAAUCUGGCUAUAUGCUGGGAACUCCGAGUAUCCGGCGCUACCGGGUGGUUUAAUCUGAACCAUUAGGUGACAAUGCGUCCGGUGCGGACAAUCAGCAGGAAAGACCUUGGAGAAGAAAUUCUGGUUCGUCCAAGGACUAGUGUGGACCUCCUCGGAAUCCUCAGAGACUAUACGCCAGACCCCUGUCGGAACCAGUGGGAAGAUGUAGUCCGAUCUGUAUGGCGACAUGCAGAGGCCGGCAGAAAUGACCGGUCCACUCGGCAGCUCCAAAGGUUUCCUCUCCCCCUGGGAGAGGACUAAGGUGAGGGGCAACCCCCAUCCUAACCUUCCCCCAAAGGGAGAAGGGACUACCGGUGAAGCCGAGGAGUAACAAAAUGCCUAAGGUAGCGAAGUCCCUUGUCGGGUAAGUUCCGACCCGCAUGAAUGGUUGAACGACUUGGCCAUUGUCUCGACGGAGGGCUCGGUGAAAUUACGGUGCCCGUGAAGACGCGGGCGACCUGCGGCAGGACAAAAAGACCCCGUGGAGCUUUACUGUAACCUGGUAUUGGGCCGGGAACUGUCAUGUGUAGGAUAGGUGGGAGACUUUGAAGUCGCGACGCCAGUCGUGAUGGAGUCAUCGUUGAAAUACCACCCUUGGUUGUUUUUGGUUCUAACCUCAGCAAAACUGGGGGACAGUGCCUGGUGGGCAGUUUAACUGGGGCGGUUGCCUCCGAAAAUGUAACGGAGGCGUCCAAAGGUUCCCUCAGGACGGAUGGAAAUCGUCCUUAGAACGCAUUGGCAUAAGGGAGCUUGACUGCAAGACCUACAAGUCGAGCAGGGACGAAAGUCGGGCAAAGUGAUCCUACGGCACCGUGUGGAAGGGCCGUGGCUUAUCGGAUAAAAGCUACCCCGGGGAU